Molecule: ribosomal RNA, 512 nt
Filed under: uncultured bacterium
Lineage: Bacteria
Description: partial 16S ribosomal RNA
Rfam family: Bacterial small subunit ribosomal RNA
Source: RNAcentral
GACGAACGCUGGCGGCGUGCUUAACACAUGCAAGUCGAACGGAGAUUCAGCAAUGGAUCUUAGUGGCGAACGGGUGAGUAACGCGUAGGCAAUCUGCCUUCUAGAUGGGGACAACAUCCCGAAAGGGGUGCUAAUACCGAAUGUUGUACCGUUUCCGCAUGGAGAUGAUACUAAAGGUGGCCUCUGAAUAUGCUACCGCUAGAAGAUGAGCCUGCGGCUGAUUAGCUAGUUGGAGGGGUAACGGCCCACCAAGGCUUCGAUUAGUAGCCGGUCUGAGAGGAUGAACGGCCACACUGGGACUGAGACACGGCCCAGACUCCUACGGGAGGCAGCAGUGGGGAAUCUUCCGCAAUGGACGAAAGUCUGACGGAGCAACGCCGCGUGAGUGAAGAAGGUUUUCGGAUCGUAAAGCUCUUUCGUUAGGGACGAACGUGCUCUUUGUGAAUAAUGAGGAGUAAUGACGGUACCUAAAUAAGAAGCCACGGCUAACUACGUGCCAGCCGCCGCGGUAA